AUUGAACGCUGGCGGCAGGCCUAACACAUGCAAGUCGAGCGGAUGAAGGGAGCUUGCUCCUGGAUUCCGCGGCGGACGGGUGAGUAAUGCCUAGGAAUCUGCCUGGUAGUGGGGGAUAACGUCCGGAAACGGGCGCUAAUACCGCAUCCGUCCUGAGGGAGAAAGUGGGGGAUCUUCGGACCUCACGCUAUCAGCUGAGCCUAGGUCGGAUUAGCUAGUUGGUGGGGUAAAGGCCUACCAAGGCGACGAUCCGUAACUGGUCUGAGAGGAUGAUCAGUCACACUGGAACUGAGACACGGUCCAGACUCCUACGGGAGGCAGCAGUGGGGAAUAUUGGACAAUGGGCGAAAGCCUGAUCCAGCCAUGCCGCGUGUGUGAAGAAGGUCUUCGGAUUGUAAAGCACUUUAAGUUGGGAGGAAGGGAAGUAAGUGAAUACCUGGCUGUUUUGACGUUACCAACAGAAUAAGCACCGGCUAACUUCGUG
This 484-nucleotide ribosomal RNA is filed under the name uncultured bacterium. RNAcentral describes it as "partial 16S ribosomal RNA". It matches the Rfam family "Bacterial small subunit ribosomal RNA", at positions 30 to 507 of the family's 1533-position model. The record is from RNAcentral.